UUUAAUAUAAUUAUUGUCUUCUAGACAAUAUCCACUCUCAGAAUAAGUCCUCAUUACAUUUAUUGUCACACUAUUUAACAGAAUAGUGAGGACUACUAAUACUAUCAUCUGGACCGUCACUCCGUUCUCCGACUAGUCCCGGCUACGUUCUCAUUUUCUGAAGAGAACAGUGAAAGAAAGGGUGAGCUCAACUAGCCCAGUAAGAAAUAUUAUGACUAAGAUAAUGCAGAAUAAAUUAUCAUUAGUCUUCAAC
RNAcentral lists this long non-coding RNA (253 nucleotides) under Panax ginseng (ginseng). Its description in RNAcentral is "long non-coding RNA (PGIN_LNC003500)". The record is from RNAcentral. Lineage: Eukaryota; Viridiplantae; Streptophyta; Magnoliopsida; Apiales; Araliaceae.